CUCGGAGCGGGCGCCGUCCCCAGGCUGGGCCCUGGCCAGCCGCGCUCUGUCGGGCCCUGGCCAGAACUGAGGGGCGCCGGACGGAGCCGGGCCCUGAGACACUCAAGGAAGAGCCCAUGGACCCCAGGCCUUCUGUAGUCUCAGCACAGGCCGGGCUUGGAGCUGCUGUUCUGUGCAGAUGCUGCCCAAUAGCUUCGAGGCCGGACAGAAGUGGUCCGAGUCCUCUGUGCUGUCACCGACACGUCUGCCUGGCCUCCUCAGCGCUGAUGUCAGAGUGGGAAGUGGCUGGGCUGCCCCAGGCACAGUCUCCUCGGCAGCCAUGGCCACAGGGCCUAUCCCCGGAGUCCCCCUCUCGUCAAGGAUCUGGGAGAGGUGAAAGAAGCCGGGGUGGUAUGAGCUGGUACCCUGUUGACCACAUCAGGGUUAGGAGACCUGGAGGCUGCCUCCCUGCCCUGCCGCCAUGUCCAUGGGAGGCACACAGGACACAUACUCCCCGGAACGACCUGAGUGGGAGCUGCGCAUUUGGAAGUAAGUUCACUUUCUUAUGUCUUGAAAUGUGCUUCUUAUUUUAAAUUAGGAAAUAUGGCCAAAUGAUUACAAACGAUUACAUUUAUAAUUUUUAAAGUCACCGAAGUCUCAUCACAUGAUCUUGGGGGGGCAGUGUUGCCGUGCUCAGCGUCACUCGAAUGAGCCCAGCCUGCACUGCAGAGCCAGUGCCUGGUUAUUUUGCACACCUGUGACUAUCUCGGGCAGCUGCCCACUGGCUCUGCUGAGGCAGGUGCCUGGGGCAGCCCAGUGCUCAGGCAUCAGGGGUCCCCUCGCCUCAGCCAAUCCUCUCUCAUCUUUCUCCUCCAGUUAUCCCCUUGGGGUCCUGGCCUGGAACUCACCUUCCCUCCUCCUUUUUCCUUCCUUCCUGCAGUCUGCAGACCCAGCCUCACCUUUGCUCCAGUGGAGAACGGAAGCAUGGGGCCUGGGAGGGAGUGUGCAGUGCCAGGGCAUCACUUGCACUGUCCUGAGAGGGAGGGUGCCCCUCUGUCACCUCCCCUCUGCUCUUCUCUCUCUCAGGCUGUGGCCCUGGGUGCAGGGCAGUGACUGAAUUACUCUCAUGACCCACUGGUAGGUACUGAAAUCAAUUAGUCAACCGAUUUGGAUGCACGUAGAGACCCAGAGCAAAUGGCAGGUGGCCAGGGCACACAUGGUGAUGAGGGCACAAGUGUUUUGUGAAACGUGGGCUCCAGAGUGACGUGGCUACAUAUGGCUAGCGCGAAACGUGCUUCUCCCCGUGGGUUCUACACGGGGCUGUCAGGACACAGGUCACAGCAAACUGCGGAACACAUUCUGGACAUUCUGUGAAUGCUCCUCUAUUAGAUUUGUGUUUCUGAAAAUUCUUUGUUAAAAAGUACAAAAAGCCAUGAGAGAUGCUUUUCCUCAUGACUCUCCCCAGGCAGGGGCCUUGCGGUGGCCAGGCCAGGGUGCGUGCUGCCUUCCUGGGCCUUCUCAGUCAUCCUGGAUGCGGAGCUGGGGCUCACCAGCCUCGCUCCCACACAGCUUCCCCAGGGUCAGCCGACACCCAGACGGCAGCUGUUCACAGGGUUCCUGAAGCUCCCGAAUGCUUUUCACCCAGCAUCAGCCAUUUGAGGAUGAGCUGCCCUCUCAAGCAGGCACUCCUGCUGUCCCUUCACCCGUGCCCGAGCGUCUUGGCGUCUCCCUCUCUAUCCUCCAUGUAGGCAGCUGGUGCCCCAGAGCACUCACCUUCCUUGUCUUGGGAACUUCCAUUAGUCCAGCCAAGUCCCCCUCAUUUUGGGGGAACUGUUGCAAGUGGACAGCUGCGUCCCCGUUGCCUAGGCACGUGGGCACCUGGGCACCCAGGCACAUGGGUACUUCACCUCCUGGACACCCAGACACAAGGGCAUUUGGGCAUGUGGGCACCUGGGUAUGUGGGCAGCUGGGAACCUGGGCACACAGGCACCUGUGCACCUGGGCACAUGGGAACCUGGGCACGUGGACAUCUAUGUACUUGGGCACACAGGCACCCAGGCACCUGGGCAUGUGGGCACCUGUGAAGCUGUGCAUUGGGCAGCUGGGAACCUGGGCACCUGGGCACUUGGGCAUGUGGGCAUCUGGGCAAGUGGGCACCCUGGUACAUGUGCAUCUGGGCAGGUAGCAACCAGGCACCUGAGCCAAUGUCUGCCCUCCUCACCAUGUGGCCCUGUGCCCCUGCCUCAAAUCUGUCUCCCAUCUGCACAGUGGGAAUACUCAGAGUGCCCACAUGGGGUUGCCAUGACCAGGGGGUCCCACGGUUCCUGGCACUCCACAGCACUUGCCGUGAUGCUCAGGUGCUGGAGGUCUGUGCCCACAUGAGGUUGCUGUGACCGGUGUGGGGGGGUCCCACGGUUCCUGGCACUCCACAGCACUUGCCGUGAUGCUCAGGUCUUUGCAGUCAACCAUCUUACUGCUGUUACUGCAUCUUCCACCUCCUCCUCUUGUCCCCACAGCCAGCUCUAUGGCCUUCCCUCUUGGACUCCUCCCCCAGCCUUCCGCUGAGCCCAGCAUUCUCCUGGGUUGUCCUGGGAGCUGCCCUGCUCUCCAGAGACUUCUCUAUCUCCUGGCCCUCAAGGCUCCCAUAAGAAUCCCCUGUGGCCACGUCCCUUUUUUAAAGGUGCUGUGAUGCUUGCCCAGGAUCACUGGGCAAUCAUGCGGGGCCCAGAGUCCUUUCUCUGGGCCAUGGCCCCCGCUGGACAUAAUACCCACUGGGUAUUAUGGUGGGUGCCUGUAGUCCCAGCUACUUGGGAGGCUGAGGCAAGAGAAUUGCUUAAGCCUGGGAGUUGGAGGUUGCUGUGAGAUAUGAGGCCAUGGCACUCUGCUGAAGUCAACAGCUUGAGACUCUGUCUCAAAAAAAAAGAUAGUAAAUAUCUCAGGCUCUGCAGGCCACAUGGUCUCAGUCGAGAGAGUGCCCUUUGGUCCUCAUGCAGAGGCUGCCGAGAUAACACUUAAAUGAAUGAGCAGGGUGUGUUCCAAUAAAACUUCAUUGAUGGACACUGAAAUUUGAGUUUCACAUAAUUUUCAUGUGUCAGGACAUAUUUUUAUUCUUUAGAGCUUGUUUGCUUUCAAACAUUCAAAAAUGUAAGAAGACAAGCUGAGGUCAUAAGUUGUGUGAAAAUGGGUCUUGGACCAAGUUUGUCCCAGAGGCCAGAACUGACCCAAACCUAUCUCAGAGCACAGAGGCAGCAGAGUUCUGGGAAGGGCAGGACUCAUGACAUGUUUUGUGAUUUGUCCAAAAGAAGUCAUAUGGAAGUCACUGCUCUGGGGCUCUCAGGCCCCUUAAGGGAGUCACUCGUGCAGAAGGGUGAACCAAACAGCUUUUCUUCAUCCUUGGAGAACCCCUAGGACAAGCUCGUUCCUCUGACACCUCCUUGGGUCCUGGGAAGGUGCUUUGCUGCUUUCUUGACAGAUCCUGCACUGACCAGCAUUCUUUGUGAGGCUGCCCCUUAGUUCCCACAUGGGUGUAAGGCUGGUAGCACAGGGAUGAAACCAGGAGGGGACACCGCCAUCACACCUAUCAGACAGGUGAGCCCAGGCCUUGCUGCCCAAGUGAAAAUUCCCACAGCCUGAUCCAACCCGCCCACUGACAGACCUGUGCCCGUGCCCUCCGUGAGAACUUGCCUUUCACAUUUCCAGCCCACCCUCGUGCAAGAAAACAAGACAUGCAGGUGUCAGUGUGGGAUAGAGGUUCUGCCACAGAACAGACAUUGCAAGACAUCUCUGUAAUUUCUUUAAUUAUUCAAACAAUAAAGCACAAAGAUAACAGUUUCAAGUACAUUCUGACACAUGUUUUUUGACAGGAGUAGAUAUGCAUUUAGUCAUGGGGGGCUGGCAGGGACCACCAUGCAUACAUUUUGCACAAGCUCUUGGCACCAUUGACCCGAGGAUGAGGAGUGGCACCCCACCUGGGGGCAGGGGAGGUACAACAUUGUCACACCCUGUAUUUAGUUUCUCUACUCAGUGGUUUCCUUUCCUCACUUGUGAAAAAGAAUUCAUACUAGAAAGCUGUGGAAAGACACUAAAAAGAGAAGCCAGGAUGGCAGGUGGCAGCACCCAGCAGCCUAGGUGUUCCGUCUUGGUGAAGCUCUGCUCAGCAUGCCCUCGUCACUAGCAAACUGCACUGCAGCCAUGGGCACCUGUGGGCUUGGCCAACACCUGACCCUUCUCUUUGACCAUAUGGGCUGCACAACGCAGCCAGAAGAGCCGGUGUGUCCUUUGACCGACUUAGAAUUAGACAUGAACAGUCAAAAGAACAGAAGCCAUUGUGAACACCAGCCUUGAACCUGCUAGCUACCUAGAAGAACACGGAAAAGUCUUUUACAAGAGACAAUGAGGGCUGCACCUGCCUGCAGAGCCUGGGCCCUGGGAGUACACAGAGGCCAAGCCACUGGCCCCAGCACCACCUGUCUGGGCACACGCCCUCAGGAGGUGGUCACUGGCAGCCAGACCCACCAGAGGCCCAGCCUCAGCAGCCAGAACCCAGCAGGUGGGACUGAGGUCUGUUCCGUCCUGCUCCCUAAGCCUGAACCACCUCCACACAGGCCUAACCUAGGAGGCCCCAAGCCCAUACAUCUUGGCCCUUCAAAGCCCAGACUGUUUAGAUACUACGGCCCAAAGCACACAGCAGGACAGUCACCUUCAAUAAGCCAAAGUUCUGGGAGUGAUCCACUGCCUGGCCCCUGGUGACAGCCGAGGGCUGAAACCCUCUUGUCCAAACCUACAGGGCAGCAUGAAGCAUGUGAAGCAUGGAGGAACCUUCUCCCAACUCAGCUGACAUCAGGCACCAACCGCCGGUACACACUCAAGUAGGACUGUGUCCUGCAGAUAUGAGUCCACACCUAACAACCACACCAGACAGACACUUGGAUUUGGAGUUACUAGUAUGGCCCAAGGUCCCUGGAAGUCCUGACAUUCUAGUGACUGGUCCACGAGGAGCAGGCAGAGAAUGCACAUUCCACAGUGGGCUUGUCCCUUGGAUUGGGAGAACUCUCAAGAAAAGAGGGCAGGAGGUUCAGAGAUCACUUGGCCCUCUGCUCUGGAAAGGGCACAACACGACCUCAGAAAGCAGCAACGGGCCUCCUCCCUACAGACCAGAGGCAUCAAGACCAGGGAAGGCCUGAGGUCUGCCCAGCAGUCACUGGGAGCCCUGAGGAAGUGCUCAGGGCCUGCCCCCAGGGCCACUUCCUCUGGGCCUACAAAUUAGGCUUUGCUAGUUAAGGAGUGGCAAUGGGGGACAGAAGAGUCCCCACAUACGGCACCCCCAAACUUUGGGAGUGUAGGAAGAACUUCACACAAUAAAUACUAACGUAGCUGAGGUUUCUCCAGUGACGAGAAUAAAAAAGUUGAUU
Molecule: RNA transcript, 5390 nt
Organism: Nycticebus coucang (slow loris)
Lineage: Eukaryota; Metazoa; Chordata; Mammalia; Primates; Lorisidae
Exons: 3
Source: RefSeq, a predicted model, not a curated record